GGUUAAGCGACUAAGCGUACACGGUGGAUGCCCUGGCAGUCAGAGGCGAUGAAGGACGUGCUAAUCUGCGAAAAGCGUCGGUAAGGUGAUAUGAACCGUUAUAACCGGCGAUGUCCGAAUGGGGAAACCCAGUGCAAUUCGUUGCACUAUCGUUAACUGAAUACAUAGGUUAACGAGGCGAACCGGGGGAACUGAAACAUCUAAGUACCCCGAGGAAAAGAAAUCAACCGAGAUUCCCCCAGUAGCGGCGAGCGAACGGGGAGCAGCCCAGAGUCUGAAUCAGCUUGUGUGUUAGUGGAACGGUCUGGAAAGUCCGACGGUACAGGGUGAUAGUCCCGUACACCAAAAUGCACAGGCUGUGAACUCGAAGAGUAGGGCGGGACACGUGGUAUCCUGUCUGAAUAUGGGGGGACCAUCCUCCAAGGCUAAAUACUCCUGACUGACCGAUAGUGAACCAGUACCGUGAGGGAAAGGCGAAAAGAACCCCGGCGAGGGGAGUGAAAAAGAACCUGAAACCGUGUACGUACAAGCAGUGGGAGCACCUUCGGGUGUGACUGCGUACCUUUUGUAUAAUGGGUCAGCGACUUAUAUUCUGUAGCAAGGUUAACCGUAUAGGGGAGCCGCAGGGAAACCGAGUCUUAACUGGGCGUUAAGUUGCAGGGUAUAGACCCGAAACCCGGUGAUCUAGCCAUGGGCAGGUUGAAGGUUGGGUAACACUAACUGGAGGACCGAACCGACUAAUGUUGAAAAAUUAGCGGAUGACUUGUGGCUGGGGGUGAAAGGCCAAUCAAACCGGGAGAUAGCUGGUUCUCCCCGAAAGCUAUUUAGGUAGCGCCUCGUGAACUCAUCUUCGGGGGUAGAGCACUGUUUCGGCUAGGGGGUCAUCCCGACUUACCAACCCGAUGCAAACUACGAAUACCGAAGAAUGUUAUCACGGGAGACACACGGCGGGUGCUAACGUCCGUCGUGAAGAGGGAAACAACCCAGACCGCCAGCUAAGGUCCCAAAGUCAUGGUUAAGUGGGAAACGAUGUGGGAAGGCACAGACAGCCAGGAUGUUGGCUUAGAAGCAGCCAUCAUUUAAAGAAAGCGUAAUAGCUCACUGGUCGAGUCGGCCUGCGCGGAAGAUGUAACGGGGCUAAACCAUGCACCGAAGCUGCGGCAGCGACACUAUGUGUUGUUGGGUAGGGGAGCGUUCUGUAAGCCUGCGAAGGUGGCCUGUGAGGGUUGCUGGAGGUAUCAGAAGUGCGAAUGCUGACAUAAGUAACGAUAAAGCGGGUGAAAAGCCCGCUCGCCGGAAGACCAAGGGUUCCUGUCCAACGUUAAUCGGGGCAGGGUGAGUCGACCCCUAAGGCGAGGCCGAAAGGCGUAGUCGAUGGGAAACAGGUUAAUAUUCCUGUACUUGGUGUUACUGCGAAGGGGGGACGGAGAAGGCUAUGUUAGCCGGGCGACGGUUGUCCCGGUUUAAGCAUGUAGGCUGGUUAUCCAGGCAAAUCCGGAUAAUCAAGGCUGAGGUGUGAUGACGAGGUACUACGGUGCUGAAGUAACAAAUGCCCUGCUUCCAGGAAAAGCCUCUAAGCAUCAGGUAACAUCAAAUCGUACCCCAAACCGACACAGGUGGUCAGGUAGAGAAUACCAAGGCGCUUGAGAGAACUCGGGUGAAGGAACUAGGCAAAAUGGUGCCGUAACUUCGGGAGAAGGCACGCUGGUGUGUAGGUGAAGUCCCUGCGGAUGGAGCUGAGACCAGUCGAAGAUACCAGCUGGCUGCAACUGUUUAUUAAAAACACAGCACUGUGCAAACACGAAAGUGGACGUAUACGGUGUGACGCCUGCCCGGUGCCGGAAGGUUAAUUGAUGGGGUUAUCCGUAAGGAGAAGCUCUUGAUCGAAGCCCCGGUAAACGGCGGCCGUAACUAUAACGGUCCUAAGGUAGCGAAAUUCCUUGUCGGGUAAGUUCCGACCUGCACGAAUGGCGUAAUGAUGGCCAGGCUGUCUCCACCCGAGACUCAGUGAAAUUGAACUCGCUGUGAAGAUGCAGUGUACCCGCGGCAAGACGGAAAGACCCCGUGAACCUUUACUAUAGCUUGACACUGAACAUUGAGCCUUGAUGUGUAGGAUAGGUGGGAGGCUUUGAAGCGUGGACGCCAGUCUGCGUGGAGCCAACCUUGAAAUACCACCCUUUAAUGUUUGAUGUUCUAACGUUGGCCCCUUAUCGGGGUUGCGGACAGUGUCUGGUGGGUAGUUUGACUGGGGCGGUCUCCUCCCAAAGCGUAACGGAGGAGCACGAAGGUUAGCUAAUCCUGGUCGGACAUCAGGAGGUUAGUGCAAUGGCAUAAGCUAGCUUGACUGCGAGCGUGACGGCGCGAGCAGGUGCGAAAGCAGGUCAUAGUGAUCCGGUGGUUCUGAAUGGAAGGGCCAUCGCUCAACGGAUAAAAGGUACUCCGGGGAUAACAGGCUGAUACCGCCCAAGAGUUCAUAUCGACGGCGGUGUUUGGCACCUCGAUGUCGGCUCAUCACAUCCUGGGGCUGAAGUAGGUCCCAAGGGUAUGGCUGUUCGCCAUUUAAAGUGGUACGCGAGCUGGGUUUAGAACGUCGUGAGACAGUUCGGUCCCUAUCUGCCGUGGGCGCUGGAGAAUUGAGGGGGGCUGCUCCUAGUACGAGAGGACCGGAGUGGACGCAUCACUGGUGUUCGGGUUGUCAUGCCAAUGGCACUGCCCGGUAGCUAAAUGCGGAAGAGAUAAGUGCUGAAAGCAUCUAAGCACGAAACUUGCCCCGAGAUGAGUUCUCCCUGAGACUUUAAGUCUCCUGAAGGAACGUUGAAGACGACGACGUUGAUAGGCCGGGUGUGUAAGCGCAGCGAUGCGUUGAGCUAACCGGUACUAAUGAACCGUGAGGCUUAACCUU
Molecule: ribosomal RNA, 2902 nt
Filed under: Klebsiella quasipneumoniae
Lineage: Bacteria; Pseudomonadati; Pseudomonadota; Gammaproteobacteria; Enterobacterales; Enterobacteriaceae
Description: 23S ribosomal RNA
Rfam family: Bacterial large subunit ribosomal RNA
Source: RNAcentral